GGGGUUGUGGCUCAGGGGUAGAGCGCUUGCCUAGCACAUGCGAGAACCUGGGUUCCAUCCUCAGCACCACA
Molecule: transfer RNA, 71 nt
Filed under: Marmota monax (woodchuck)
Lineage: Eukaryota; Metazoa; Chordata; Mammalia; Rodentia; Sciuridae
Description: tRNA.Ala
Source: RNAcentral